CACGGCGCACGGGUGCGUAACACGUGGGCAAUCUGCCCUUCGAUGGGGAAUAACUCCGGGAAACCGAAGCUAAUUCCGCAUAACAUUCCUUGGACCUCGGUUCGAGGACUCAAAGCCGUAAGGCGUCGAAGGAGGAGCCCGCGCACGAUUAGCUAGUUGGUAGGGUAACGGCCUACCAAGGCUUUGAUCGUUAGCUGGUCUGAGAGGAUGGCCAGCCACACUGGAACUGAGACACGGUCCAGACUCCUACGGGAGGCAGCAGUGGGGAAUCUUGCACAAUGGGCGAAAGCCUGAUGCAGCGACGCCGCGUGGGGGAUGAAGCAUUUCGGUGUGUAAACCCCUUUCGACCCGGACGAAUGCCUCGCAAGAGGAGUGACGGUACGGGUAUAAGAAGCCCCGGCUAACUACGUGCCAGCAGCCGCGGUAAGACGUAGGGGGCCAGCGUUGUUCGGAAUUACUGGGUGUAAAGGGUUCGUAGGCGGUGUGGCAAGUUGGGAGUGAAAUCUCUGGGCUCAACCCAGAGGCUGCUUCCAAAACUGCUGUGCUUGAGUGUGGGAGAGGCGCGUGGAAUUGCAGGUGUAGCGGUGAAAUGCGUAGAUAUCUGCAGGAACACCCGUGGCGAAAGCGGCGCGCUGGACCACAAC
Molecule: ribosomal RNA, 644 nt
Filed under: uncultured bacterium
Lineage: Bacteria
Description: bacterial SSU rRNA
Rfam family: Bacterial small subunit ribosomal RNA
Source: RNAcentral